GUGAGAAACUCUUAUGAGAUACC
RNAcentral lists this small nuclear RNA (23 nucleotides) under Arabidopsis thaliana (thale cress). RNAcentral describes it as "snRNA_01349". The record is from RNAcentral. Lineage: Eukaryota; Viridiplantae; Streptophyta; Magnoliopsida; Brassicales; Brassicaceae.